CCCAACUAUCCCUAUUAAUCAUUACGUCGAUCCUAGAAACCAACAAAAUAGGGUCAAACGUCCUAUUUCAUUAUUCCAUGCUAAUGUAUUCAAGCGCGAGCCUGCUUUAAACACUCUAAUUUUUUCAAAGUAACAGUCCUGAUUCCCCGCCACACCAACUGAAUGGCAUGACGGUUCUUCAGAAGGGAGAAACCAGUGACACCAGUGCAUACCGAAGGCACGACCAGCGUACUGAUCUCGAAAUUCAACUACGAGCUUUUUAACUGCAACAACUUUAAUAUACGCUAUUGGAGCUGGAAUUACCGCGGCUGCUGGCACCAGACUUGCCCU
RNAcentral lists this unclassified non-coding RNA (330 nucleotides) under uncultured Glomeraceae. RNAcentral's name for it is "sequence contains 18S rRNA gene". The record is from RNAcentral. Lineage: Eukaryota; Fungi; Glomeromycota; Glomeromycetes; Glomerales; Glomeraceae.